GACGAACGCUGGCGGCGUGCUUAACACAUGCAAGUCGAACGAGAGGACAAGAGAAGCUUGCUUCUUUUGGAAUCGAGUGGCAAACGGGUGAGUAACACGUAAACAACCUGCCUUCAGGAUGGGGACAACAGACGGAAACGACUGCUAAUACCGAAUACGCUUGGGAGACCGCAUGAUCUACCAAGGAAAGGGUGGCCUCUACCUGUAAGCUAUCGCCUGAAGAGGGGUUUGCGUCUGAUUAGGCAGUUGGUGAGGUAACGGCCCACCAAACCUACGAUCAGUAGCCGGUCUGAGAGGAUGAACGGCCACACUGGAACUGAGACACGGUCCAGACUCCUACGGGAGGCAGCAGUGGGGAAUAUUGCACAAUGGGGGAAACCCUGAUGCAGCGACGCCGCGUGAGUGAAGAAGUAUUUCGGUAUGUAAAGCUCUAUCAGCAGGGAAGAAAGUGACGGUACCUGAAUAAGAANCCCGGCUAACUACGUGCCAGCAGCCGCGG
This 499-nucleotide ribosomal RNA is filed under the name uncultured bacterium. RNAcentral's name for it is "bacterial SSU rRNA". It matches the Rfam family "Bacterial small subunit ribosomal RNA", at positions 28 to 520 of the family's 1533-position model. The record is from RNAcentral.